GAGUGUACUCCAACAUGACCGACACGGAGUUCACGCAGGCCCUGGCCAGUGGUGCAGAGCAAGGCUACUUGAUACAUGUCAAGGAGCACAAGACAAACAGGUCUUUUGGGGAGGCCCAGCUGGUCCUCACAGAUGUGGAGUUUGGGUGGCUGCAACGGUGGAUGGCCAUCAAGACCAAAGUCCCCAAGAAGGAGAGGAACACCUUUGUGAUGUUCACGAAAGGGACGGGUCCCUGUAAAAAUCUAAACAGGCCUGGGCGGAGCUGAGAAUAGGCGGCAAUGUCAGCUUCACCCUUAUUCGGACGGCACUUGCGCACUACGCAAAAAAGGCCACGGACGUCACUGCCAGGAAGAGGGUGGCAGACUUCAUGUGCCACGAUGUCACCACGGCGGACCGCUUCUACGCCAGGUGCCCCGAUGUCAAGGAGGCUAUGGCGAUCCGGUGUCUCAUCCGAGACAGCCUCAGGACGGAGGAGAGGGCCGGACCAUCUACUGCCGUGGUGGCAUCAUUUACUCCCCUGGGAGGAGGGACCUGUGUGGAGGAG
This is a long non-coding RNA of Cottoperca gobio, 544 nucleotides long. RefSeq lists it as uncharacterized. The transcript is spliced from 3 exons. The record is from RefSeq and is a predicted model, not a curated record. NCBI's taxonomy places the organism in Eukaryota, Metazoa, Chordata, Actinopteri, Perciformes, Bovichtidae.